AUGUCUGCAUCGUUCCACGUGAAACAGCACCACCACCACCACAGUGACAAGAAGCAGCAGCAUGAGAGCAUCAGCCAUCACAGCUCUCGCUCCUCUUUUAGUCAGCUGUCAUAUGCUGCCCACAAGAGAAUCCAGCACAGCACCAUAGGAGUGCAGCAGAGUUUUGUCGAAUCAGAGAAGAGGUCGGAGUUCAUACCUAGCCAGCUGCUGCCGCCGAGAGUCAAGAAGUACCUGGCCAUGGACCCUGACACCAACGAUGUCAUUGGAUACAUAGUUCCUGUCUUCAGGACCAGGUGGGGAGACUGGGAUAUAACGUAGUAACAUUGAUAUGUUUCAGAUAGACAUUUACACUGAAUGAUACAAUAUGUGCCUGUUGUUUAGCCAUGAGUUUGGGGAUAAAAUAAAUAAAUACACGUUUAACCUUUAUAUAACUAGGGGAUGUUCAGGUUUAGUUUAAUUUAUUUGUACCAAAGAAAACAAGUGGUCAACAACAAUACAGAUAAAAAGGAAUGAAUAAACGGUGUGCAGGUGGCUGGAAGCACAAAAUACUAUAUAAAUACAUUCGGGAAGUA
RNAcentral lists this long non-coding RNA (572 nucleotides) under Oncorhynchus kisutch (coho salmon). RNAcentral describes it as "lncRNA (ENSOKIG00005046324.1)". The record is from RNAcentral. Lineage: Eukaryota; Metazoa; Chordata; Actinopteri; Salmoniformes; Salmonidae.